Molecule: ribosomal RNA, 455 nt
Filed under: Scathophaga tinctinervis
Lineage: Eukaryota; Metazoa; Arthropoda; Insecta; Diptera; Scathophagidae
Description: partial 16S ribosomal RNA
Rfam family: Bacterial large subunit ribosomal RNA
Source: RNAcentral
UUUAAAUGGCCGCAGUAUACUAACUGUGCAAAGGUAGCAUAAUCAUUAGUCUUUUAAUUGAAGGCUGGUAUGAAUGGUUGGACGAGAUAUUAACUGUUUCAUAAAAAUUUAUAUUAGAAUUUUAUUUUUUAGUCAAAAAGCUAAAAUUUAUUUAAAAGACGAGAAGACCCUAUAAAUCUUUAUAUUUAAAUUAUUAUAAUUUUAUAGAUUAUUUUUGUUAUAAUAAUUAAUAAUAUUUUAUUGGGGUGAUAUUAAAAUUUAAUAAACUUUUAAUUGUUUAAAAUCAUUAAUUUAUGAAUAAUUGAUCCGUUAUUAACGAUUAAAAAAAUAAGUUACUUUAGGGAUAACAGCGUAAUUUUUUUGGAGAGUUCAUAUCGAUAAAAAAGAUUGCGACCUCGAUGUUGGAUUAAGAUAUAAUUUUAGGUGUAGCCGCUUAAAUUUUAAGUCUGUUCGAC